AAGCCGGGUUACGGUGCCCAACUGCGCGCUAACCUAGAACCCACAAAGGGCGUUGGUCGAUUAAGACAGCAGGAUGGUGGUCAUGGAAGUCAAAAUCCGCCAAGGAGUGUGUAACAACUCACUUGCCGAAUCAACUAGCCCCGAAAAUGGAUGGCGCUUAAGCGUGCGACCUAUACCCGGCCGUCGGGGCAAGUUCCAGGCCCCGAUG
RNAcentral lists this non-coding RNA (208 nucleotides) under Daucus carota subsp. sativus. RNAcentral describes it as "rRNA LSU_rRNA_eukarya". It matches the Rfam family "Eukaryotic large subunit ribosomal RNA", at positions 1172 to 1379 of the family's 3401-position model. The record is from RNAcentral. Lineage: Eukaryota; Viridiplantae; Streptophyta; Magnoliopsida; Apiales; Apiaceae.